ACCGGCGAGUUACGAUUUGAUGCAAGGUUAAGCAGUAAAUGUGGAGCCGUAGCGAAAGCGAGUCUGAAUAGGGCGUUUAGUAUUUGGUCGUAGACCCGAAACCAGGUGAUCUACCCUUGGUCAGGUUGAAGUUCAGGUAACACUGAAUGGAGGACCGAACCGACUUACGUUGAAAAGUGAGCGGAUGAACUGAGGGUAGCGGAGAAAUUCCAAUCGAACCUGGAGAUAGCUGGUUCUCUCCGAAAUAGCUUUAGGGCUAGCCUCAAGUGAUGAUUAUUGGAGGUAGAGCACUGUUUGGACGAGGGGCCCCUCUCGGGUUACCGAAUUCAGACAAACUCCGAAUGCCAAUUAAUUUAACUUGGGAGUCAGAACAUGGGUGAUAAGGUCCGUGUUCGAAAGGGAAACAGCCCAGACCACCAGCUAAGGUCCCAAAAUAUAUGUUAAGUGGAAAAGGAUGUGGCGUUGCCCAGACAACUAGGAUGUUGGCUUAGAAGCAGCCAUCAUUUAAAGAGUGCGUAAUAGCUCACUAGUCGAGUGACACUGCGCCGAAAAUGUACCGGGGCUAAACAUAUUACCGAAGCUGUGGAUUGUCCUUUGGACAAUGGUAGGAGAGCGUUCUAAGGGCGUUGAAGCAUGAUCGUAAGGACAUGUGGAGCGCUUAGAAGUGAGAAUGCCGGUGUGAGUAGCGAAAGACGGGUGAGAAUCCCGUCCACCGAUUGACUAAGGUUUCCAGAGGAAGGCUCGUCCGCUCUGGGUUAGUCGGGUCCUAAGCUGAGGCCGACAGGCGUAGGCGAUGGAUAACAGGUUGAUAUUCCUGUACCACCUAUAAUCGUUUUAAUCGAUGGGGGGACGCAGUAGGAUAGGCGAAGCGUGCGAUUGGAUUGCACGUCUAAGCAGUAAGGCUGAGUAUUAGGCAAAUCCGGUACUCGUUAAGGCUGAGCUGUGAUGGGGAGAAGACAUUGUGUCUUCGAGUCGUUGAUUUCACACUGCCGAGAAAAGCCUCUAGAUAGAAAAUAGGUGCCCGUACCGCAAACCGACACAGGUAGUCAAGAUGAGAAUUCUAAGGUGAGCGAGCGAACUCUCGUUAAGGAACUCGGCAAAAUGACCCCGUAACUUCGGGAGAAGGGGUGCUCUUUAGGGUUAACGCCCAGAAGAGCCGCAGUGAAUAGGCCCAAGCGACUGUUUAUCAAA
Molecule: ribosomal RNA, 1191 nt
Filed under: Escherichia coli
Lineage: Bacteria; Pseudomonadati; Pseudomonadota; Gammaproteobacteria; Enterobacterales; Enterobacteriaceae
Description: partial 23S ribosomal RNA
Rfam family: Bacterial large subunit ribosomal RNA
Source: RNAcentral